This 433-nucleotide ribosomal RNA is filed under the name uncultured bacterium. Its description in RNAcentral is "partial 16S ribosomal RNA". It matches the Rfam family "Bacterial small subunit ribosomal RNA", at positions 29 to 507 of the family's 1533-position model. The record is from RNAcentral.
AACGAACGCUGGCGGCAUGCCUAACACAUGCAAGUCGAACGAGACCUUCGGGUCUAGUGGCGCACGGGUGCUUACCGCGUGGGAACCUGCCCUUCGGUUCGGAAUAACUCCCGGAAAGGGGUGCUAAUACCGGAUAAUAUCUUCAGACCACAGCUUGAUAGCCUUGGGAUGGGCGCGCGUUGGAUUAGCUAGUUGGUAGGGUAAUCGCCUACCAGGGCGACGAUCCCUAGCUGGUGUGAGAGGAUGAUCAGCCACACUGGGACUGAGACACGGCCCAGACUCCUACGGGAGGCAGCAGUGGUGAAUAUUGGACAAUGGGCGGAAGCCUGAUCCAGCAAUGCCGCGUGAGUGAUGAAGGUCUUAGGGUUGUAAAGCUCUUUUACCCGGGAUGAUAAUGACAGUACCGGGAGAAUAAGCGCCGGCUAACUCCGUG